CUCUUUCUCAGUGACCGGGUGGUUUGCUUAGGCGCAGACGGGGAAGCGGAGCCAACAUGCCAGUGGCCCGGAGCUGGGUUUGUCGCAAAACUUAUGUGACCCCGCGGAGACCCUUCGAGAAAUCUCGUCUCGACCAAGAGCUGAAGCUGAUCGGCGAGUAUGGGCUCCGGAACAAACGUGAGGUCUGGAGGGUCAAAUUUACCCUGGCCAAGAUCCGCAAGGCCGCCCGGGAACUGCUGACGCUUGAUGAGAAGGACCCACGGCGUCUGUUCGAAGGCGGGAGCCUCUGAUUCCUGGCGGAGAGCCACAGUGAGCCCAGCAGAACCCAUCUGAGCGCCAGCAUCCAGCCCGGUCAGGAGGAUUUGCUGCCCCCUCCUGGUGGAAUGCGCGCCAUGUCGUCAAGCGGCCACCAGAUGACUCGCUCGCUGGUCCACUCAAAGGCAUCACAUCCAGAGCGCUCUGCUGGUCACAGAUUUUUCAGCUGGGACUUUCUGGAGCUGUUUUUCUAAGCUGACUUUCUUGUGUGUUUGGUUCCCCUUUGGUUGGUGCCCUGAUCCCACCCUCGGUGGGCCCACAGGUUCCCCCAGUCCCUGCUCACCCAAUGUCCUGUGUUUGCUCUGACGCCGACAUUGGAGGAGGAGGACGAGCGGCAGGACAAAGGCCACUGAGACCCCGGUUACAACCCCCAGGUAUCUUCCCAGACCUUGCGCGUGAUGACGUCGGGAAUGAGGAUGACAUCGCUGAUGUGAGCACCUACUGUGUGCAGGCGCGUGCUGGGUCUUCAUGAGCUCUAACCCUCACAGCAGUCGUGCAACGUGGGAUUGCCAACCCCCCAACCCAUUUCACAGAUGCACAAACUGAGGCUCAGAGGGGGGAAUCGCCUGCCCCAGGCCCCCCAGCCUGGAAGAAGCAGGUCUGGGAGGGGAACCUGGGACCUUGUGUUUUCCCCAGCUGUCCUCCUGCUGCCCCACCAGGUGGACACCUGCUUCCUGCUCUGGGUCUUCUCAUCUGACAGCAGGGGCCUGUCUUAGUGUCUCCAUCUGGGGCUGUGUCCUCCUUACAACCCUCCCUUCCCCAGCACAGCAGGGCCUGGGGGAGGGAGUGGGCUGUACAGGACGGACCCUGCAUUGCUCUCACCCCCAGCCCAGCCAGGUCCAUCUCCUACUCUGCCAAUCCCUGACCUUCCCAUGCAGAGCCUUUGACCACAGACUGAAGGGCUGCACUGUCGGCUUCUCGGCUUCUGAGGUUUUGGUACUCGGACUAGCUUCCUUGCUCCUCAGCUUACAGACAGUCUAUUGUGGGACCUCACCUUGUGAUCGUGUGGAUCAAUACUCCUUAAUAAACUCCCCUUUAUAUAUACAUCUAUCCUGUUAGUUCUGCCCCUCUAGAGAACCCUGACUAAUACAUGUUUCUGAAAUACGCAGCCAUAGAAGGAAAUGAGAAAUGAAACUUCCUGACACAGGCAGGAAACCUCAGGAAGCAGCGAGGUCAGAGCUGAGUUGGCUUCUGGUGACUUGCAAUGUCAGGGAAUCACUAAAAGGGAGGUUUCCGCCUCUAUAUGAGACAGAGGAGAACCCCAGGGCCCUCACAGUCAGGGAGGGGUUGGGGUUUUGGGUGAAAGUGGGAAGUUGUGGCUCCUCGUCCCCUGUGUUUGUGGAUGGCACUGGGGUAUCUCUGCUCAUUGACUCAGGUUUAUGGUCAGCCCUGAGCCUCCCCCUCUGUGUGUGUGAAAUAGAUUCAUUGUAGAGUUGUCAGACAUGAGGUUCACACUGGACCCUCCCCUGCUGGUUACAGGCCUGAGCAGACUCACAAGACCCGGGCAGGUGGUGCCGUCCUCCUCUUUUCAAGCCUAACGCCCAGUGCAGCCCUGGUAGAAACCCUCUCUGGCAGAUGAGGCACUGGGAGAUGAGUGUCCAAGAAUGAGAAGAAAGAGGAAUCAUCCUAAUGAUAAAAAGUGCUAUGACUGGCUGCCUGCGAUGGCUCACGCCUAUUUUCCCAGCGCUCUGGGAGGCCGAGGUGGGCAGAUCGCUGGAGCCCAGGAGUUCGAGACCAGCCUGGGCAACAUGGUGAAACCCCAUCUCUACUAAAAAGACAAAAAUGAACUGGGUGUGGUGGUGCACACCUGUAGUUCCAGCUACUUAGGAGCCUGAGGUCGAAGAUCGCUUGAGUCUGGCAGGCGGAGGUUGCAGUGAACUGGGGUGGUGCGCCACUGCACUUUAGCCUGGGUGACAGAGCAAGAACCUGUCUCAAAAACAAACACAGGCUGGGCGUGGUGGCUCACGCCUGUAAUCCCAGCACUUUGGGAGGCCGAGGCAGGCAGAUCAUGAGGUCAAGAGAUCGAGACCAUCCUGGCCACACGGUGAAACCCCAUCUCUACUAAAAAU
Molecule: unclassified non-coding RNA, 2384 nt
Filed under: Homo sapiens (human)
Lineage: Eukaryota; Metazoa; Chordata; Mammalia; Primates; Hominidae
Description: ribosomal protein S9 (ENSG00000274646.4, ENSG00000274950.4)
Source: RNAcentral